This 331-nucleotide ribosomal RNA is filed under the name uncultured eukaryote. RNAcentral's name for it is "partial 18S ribosomal RNA". It matches the Rfam family "Eukaryotic small subunit ribosomal RNA", at positions 1470 to 1796 of the family's 1831-position model. The record is from RNAcentral.
CCCUUAGAUGUUCUGGGCCGCACGCGCGCUACACUGUUUGACGCAGCGAGUCUUAACCUUGACCGAAAGGUUUGGGUAAUCUUCAGCAAAGUCGAACGUGAUGGGGAUCGAUCAUUGCAAUUAUUGAUCGUGAACGAGGAAUUCCUAGUAAGUGCAAGUCAUCAGCUUGCGCUGAUUACGUCCCUGCCCUUUGUACACACCGCCCGUCGCUACUACCGAUUGAAUGGUUUAGUGAGAUCUCUGGAUUGACGCUGGCUAGGGGGCGACCCUUGGCCAGACUGUUGAGAAACUGCUCAAACUUGAUCAUUUAGAGGAAGUAAAAGUCGUAACA